Molecule: non-coding RNA, 1176 nt
Organism: Pelobates cultripes (western spadefoot toad)
Lineage: Eukaryota; Metazoa; Chordata; Amphibia; Anura; Pelobatidae
Source: the annotation of a GenBank genome assembly
GGCAGAGUUACUGGCAGUGCAUAGCUCAGAGCAUACUGGCAGUGCGGAGCUUAGAGCAGGGUUACUGGCAGUGCAGAGCUCAGGGUAGAGUUAGUGGCAGUGCAGAGCUCAGAGCAGGCUUGGUGUUUCAGGUGGGUUAAAGAUAAUGCAGAACAGGGAUGCUGUUUGUGUAGAUCUUGAAUUACAGACAGCAUAGUUGCAAAACAAGUAAAGAGCAACAUUAUCAUAGGGUUUACAGAGAGAGGAGAGAGCAGUGUGUGGUAUAUCGAGAGUGCAGAGCCAGUGGUGCAGAGUUAGCAGGGAUGCUGAGCACACAGUGCAGGCAAGGGACGGUGACAGUGCAGACUGAGAGCAGGGACAGUGAGAGUGCAGACUGAGUGCAGGGACAGUGAGAGUGCAGUGCAGACUGAGUGCAGAGACAGUGAGAGUGCAGACUGAGUGCAGGGACAGUGAGAGUGCAGACUGAGAGCAGGGACAGUGAGAGUGCAGACUGAGUGCAGGGACAGUGAGAGUGCAGACUGAGAGCAGGGACAGUGAGAGUGCAGUGCAGACUGAGUGCAGAGACAGUGAGAGUGCAGACUGAGUGCAGGGACAGUGAGAGUGCAGACUGAGUACAGGGACAGUGAGAGUGCAGAAUGAGAGCAGGGACAGUGAGAGUGCAGUCUGAGAGCAGGGACAGUGAGAGUGCAGUGCAGACUGAGAGCAGGGACAGUGAGAGUGCAGACUGAGAGCAGGGACAGUGAGAGUGCAGUCUGAGAGCACGGACAGUGAGAGUGCAGACUGAGAGCAGGGACAGUGAGAGUGCAGACUGAGAGCAGGGACAGUGAGAGUGCAGUGCAGACUGAGAGCAGGGACAGUGAGAGUGCAGACUGAGAGCAGGGACAGUUAGAGUGCAGUGCAGACUGAGUGCAGAGACAGUGAGAGUGCAGACUGAGUGCAGGGACAGUGAGAGUGCAGACUGAGUGCAGGGACAGUGAGAGUGCAGACUGAGAGCAGGGACAGUGAGAGUGCAGUCUGAGAGCAGGGACAGUGAGAGUGCAGUGCAGACUGAGAGCAGGGACAGUGAGAGUGCAGACUGAGAGCAGGGACAGUGAGAGUGCAGUCUGAGAGCACGGACAGUGAGAGUGCAGACUGAGAGCAGGGACAGUGAGAGUGCAGACUGAGAGCAGGGACAGU